GCAAUGUUAGGGUUUGCGUGAGAUGAAAGUGUGUGAGUCAGAUUGAAUUUUUCAGAGCUGCCUGGGGGUUGCUCUGAGUUCUCUGUCAGGUUUCUCUCCAGGUUUUGUCAAGGGUUUUGUUUCAAGGAAACCUCAGAGUAUUUUGCUUCUCUUCCUUUUUCUGUCUGAUCUCCCUCUUUUAUAACCUGAUUUUCAUGGCUUUGUGGGCUCAAAUGAGAGAGAUCCAAGUCCAAGUUUUU
RNAcentral lists this long non-coding RNA (239 nucleotides) under Lathyrus oleraceus (garden pea). RNAcentral's name for it is "Pisum sativum (pea) long non-coding RNA (PSAT_LNC033161)". Lineage: Eukaryota; Viridiplantae; Streptophyta; Magnoliopsida; Fabales; Fabaceae. The record is from RNAcentral.